RNAcentral lists this ribosomal RNA (254 nucleotides) under uncultured bacterium. RNAcentral describes it as "partial 16S ribosomal RNA". It matches the Rfam family "Bacterial small subunit ribosomal RNA", at positions 524 to 776 of the family's 1533-position model. The record is from RNAcentral.
UACGAAGGGGGCUAGCGUUGCUCGGAAUCACUGGGCGUAAAGCGCACGUAGGCGGAUUCUUAAGUCGGUGGUGAAAUCCUGGAGCUCAACUCCAGAACUGCCUUCGAUACUGAGAGUCUUGAGUUCGGGAGAGGUGAGUGGAACUGCGAGUGUAGAGGUGAAAUUCGUAGAUAUUCGCAAGAACACCAGUGGCGAAGGCGGCUCACUGGCCCGAUACUGACGCUGGAGGUGCGAAAGCGUGGGGAGCAAACAGG